Pelosinus fermentans B4 is the source of this 98-nucleotide non-coding RNA. Lineage: Bacteria; Bacillati; Bacillota; Negativicutes; Selenomonadales; Sporomusaceae. The record is from Rfam.
ACUGCCUUUAACGUAGUCCUGUGAGGCUGCAAAGGAGACAUGUAAUAGAGUGUAUAUUUAUGCCUUCUUGCGUUGCCACACGUGAGAAGGUUUUUUAU